GCCCAUAAGAGGGGGGAUAACAUCCGGAAACGGGUGCUAAUACCGCAUAGUUUUCUUGGUCGCAUGAUCGGGAAGGGAAAGACGGCCUUUGUGCUGUCGCUUAUGGAUGGACCCGCGGCGGUAUUAGUUAGUUGGUGAGGUAACGGCUCACCAAGACGAUGAUACGUAGCCGACCUGAGAGGGUGAUCGGCCACAUUGGGACUGAGACACGGCCCAAACUCCUACGGGAGGCAGCAGUAGGGAAUCUUCCGCAAUGGACGAAAGUCUGACGGAGCAACGCCGCGUGAGUGAAAAGAAGGUUUUCGGAUCGUAAAACUCUGUUGUCAGAGAAGAACAAGUUGGAGAGUAACUGCUCCAGCCUUGACGGUAUCUGACCAGAAAGCCACGGCUAACUACGUGCCAGCCGCGGC
RNAcentral lists this ribosomal RNA (410 nucleotides) under uncultured bacterium. RNAcentral's name for it is "bacterial SSU rRNA". It matches the Rfam family "Bacterial small subunit ribosomal RNA", at positions 128 to 518 of the family's 1533-position model. The record is from RNAcentral.